This 505-nucleotide ribosomal RNA is filed under the name uncultured bacterium. RNAcentral's name for it is "partial 16S ribosomal RNA". It matches the Rfam family "Bacterial small subunit ribosomal RNA", at positions 28 to 507 of the family's 1533-position model. The record is from RNAcentral.
GACGAACGCUGGCGGCGUGCCUAAUACAUGCAAGUCGAACGCACAGUUUAUACCGUAGCUUGCUACACCAUAGACUGUGAGUUGCGAACGGGUGAGUAACGCGUAGGUAACCUGCCUGGUAGCGGGGGAUAACUAUUGGAAACGAUAGCUAAUACCGCAUAAUAUUAAUUAUUGCAUGAUAAUUAAUUGAAAGGUGCAAUUGCACCACUACCAGAUGGCCCUGCGUUGUAUUAGCUAGUAGGUGAGGUAACGGCUCACCUAGGCGACGAUACAUAGCCGACCUGGGAGGGGGAUCGGCCACACUGGGAAUGGGACCCGGCCCAGACUCCUACGGGGGGCAGCAGUAGGGAAUCUUCGGCAAUGGACGAAAGUCUGACCGAGCAACACCGCGUGAGUGAAGAAGGUUUUCGGAUCGUAAAGCUCUGUUGUAAGAGAAGAACGGGUGUGAGAGUGGAAAGUUCACACUGUGACGGUAUCUUACCAGAAAGGGACGGCUAACUACGUG